RNAcentral lists this ribosomal RNA (460 nucleotides) under uncultured bacterium. Its description in RNAcentral is "partial 16S ribosomal RNA". It matches the Rfam family "Bacterial small subunit ribosomal RNA", at positions 338 to 795 of the family's 1533-position model. The record is from RNAcentral.
CCUACGGGUGGCUGCAGUGAGGAAUAUUGGUCAAUGGGCGCGAGCCUGAACCAGCAAAGUAGCGUGAAGGAUGACUGCCCUACGGGUUGUAAACUUCUUUUAUAAAGGAAUAAAGUGAGGCACGUGUGCCUUUUUGUCUGUACUUUAUGAAUCAGGCUCGGCUAACUCCGUGCCAGCAGCCGCGGUAAUACGGAGGCUUCGAGCGUUAUCCGGUUUUAUGGGGUUUAAAGGGAGCGUAGAUGGGUUGUUAAGUCAGUUGUGAAAGUUUGCGGCUCAACCGUCAAAUUGCAAUUGAUACUGGCAGCCUGGAGUACAGUUGAGGUAGGCGGAAUUCGUGGUGUAGCGGUGAAAUGCUUAGAUAUCACGAAGAACUCCGAUUGCGAAGGCAGCCUACUAAACUGCCACUGACAUUGAGGCACGAAAGUGUGGGUAUCAAACAGGAUUAGAUACCCCUGUAGUC